UACGAAGGGGGCAAGCGUUGUUCGGAUUUACUGGGCGUACAGGGAGCGUAGGCGGUUGGGUAAGCCCUCCGUGAAAUCUCCAGGCUUAACCUGGAAAGUGCAGAGGGGACUGCUCGGCUAGAGGAUGGGAGAGGAGCGCGGAAUUCCCGGUGUAGCGGUGAAAUGCGUAGAGAGCGGGAGGAAGGCCGGUUGCGAAGGCGGCGCUCUGGAACAUUUCUGACGCUGCGGCUCGAAAGCGUGGGGAGCAAACAGG
This 253-nucleotide ribosomal RNA is filed under the name uncultured bacterium. Its description in RNAcentral is "partial 16S ribosomal RNA". It matches the Rfam family "Bacterial small subunit ribosomal RNA", at positions 524 to 776 of the family's 1533-position model. The record is from RNAcentral.